This is a long non-coding RNA of Gadus morhua (Atlantic cod), 282 nucleotides long. RefSeq lists it as uncharacterized. Lineage: Eukaryota; Metazoa; Chordata; Actinopteri; Gadiformes; Gadidae. The record is from RefSeq and is a predicted model, not a curated record. The transcript is spliced from 2 exons.
CAUUUAUUACAUUCUGUUCUUAAUAUUAUUUUAUUCUGACUCUGAAUGUUUGUUGCUUUAAUCCAGAUGAGUAUUGAAAAGUUCUUUCUGCACCAAAAAAGGCCUCGUCCAGACGAGACGGAGCAGCUUGAGGAGGCAUCAAACAGUGCUGAACAACCCAGUGCUUCUCAGGGGCUGGGCUGUUCAGGAGAGAUAGUGAUUAAUAUAGGCCAGGAGGACAGCAGACAAAAUGUUGCUGAAACAACAGGUGAGGUGGAAACAGAUUAGUGUAGAUUUUAACUU